UAAUCUCACUACGAUCGACUUUUGUCUUUCCGUAUGUGGACUUGGAUGCUGCCGUGGAUGACCCUACGGCUCGUCUGAAAUGCCUCAGUGUACCCCGUCUUGCGGCGUAUUCGGUGUGAUACAUCUUCACCGGAGUUGAUCCUUUCGGGGGUCGCGUCUGCAAUGUUGUGGCUCUAUGCUUCCAAUCGUCUCUCUGAUGGGACAAUCUCUGACAAU
Molecule: unclassified non-coding RNA, 216 nt
Filed under: uncultured Sebacinales
Lineage: Eukaryota; Fungi; Basidiomycota; Agaricomycetes; Sebacinales
Description: sequence contains ITS2
Source: RNAcentral